GAAAUAUCUUGAGGCACAUACAUCAAAACAAACCCCCUUCUCCAAAAUUGUCACCUCACACACAGUGGAUCUGGGACAAUAUCUUUAACAUUACUUUAUCCUCCAUCCUAGCUAUGGUUACAGAAGCAAACACAGACCUGAGUUAGACCAAUUGAUUUGUGUUAUGGAACAAUAGCUUGGAACACUGAUAUUCCACUGUUCUGUACACAGAGAAUCAGGAGAGACCUGUCUGUAUGCAGCAGCUGGAAACAUGCCAUUCCAGAGAACACCUGCCAUCAAGUUGGCCAGGAUUGUCCAGUAGACACUGCAGCCUCAAUGAUUACCGUGGUUACCUGUGAACAUAAAUCAAAAUGUGCAAGCACUGUGGAUCUGUGUGCAGGCUCAAGAGAUCAAAUGGACUUCUGCUCCCACUAGGGUCUAUAGCUAAAGAUCCAAGAAGGCAGGCUGCAUAGGCAAAGACAGUGAUGUGAACAUAGAUUAUUAAAGAAUAAAAUGCUUUCAC
Molecule: long non-coding RNA, 502 nt
Filed under: Vulpes vulpes (red fox)
Lineage: Eukaryota; Metazoa; Chordata; Mammalia; Carnivora; Canidae
Description: lncRNA (ENSVVUG00000003669.1)
Source: RNAcentral